Molecule: long non-coding RNA, 249 nt
Filed under: Elaeis guineensis (African oil palm)
Lineage: Eukaryota; Viridiplantae; Streptophyta; Magnoliopsida; Arecales; Arecaceae
Description: long non-coding RNA (EGUI_LNC060993)
Source: RNAcentral
AAUUGAAACGGCAAUGGCUUUGUUGCUAAUAUGGAAAUAGAAGAACUCACUAGGAAGCGAUUUUGUAACUGAAUUGCAAUGAAAUUUUAGUCCAUUGCUAAUUUAAAAAAAAUAACAAACCCUAACUUUCUAUUAGCUUGUCAUUCCCUCUCUCCCUUUUCCUCUCUCCUCUCUCUCUCUCACAACCCUACCCUACCCCAUGUGACCCCGCCACCUUGGUGCAUCGUCCCUCCACACCACCGUCCCACC